RNAcentral lists this ribosomal RNA (274 nucleotides) under uncultured bacterium. Its description in RNAcentral is "partial 16S ribosomal RNA". It matches the Rfam family "Bacterial small subunit ribosomal RNA", at positions 523 to 796 of the family's 1533-position model. The record is from RNAcentral.
AUACGGAGGGUGCAUGCGUUACUCGGAAUCACUGGGCGUAAAGCGCGCGCAGGCGGUCUUUUAAGUUGGAUGUGAAAGCCUACGGCUCAACCGUAGAACUGCAUCCAAAACUAUUAGACUAGAGUGUGGGAGAGGAAGAUGGAAUUAGUUGUGUAGGGGUAAAAUCCGUAGAGAUAACUAGGAAUACCAAAAGCGAAGGCAAUCUGCUGGAACACUACUGACGCUGAGGCGCGAAAGCGUGGGGAGCAAACAGGAUUAGAAACCCUAGUAGUCC